RNAcentral lists this ribosomal RNA (674 nucleotides) under uncultured bacterium. RNAcentral's name for it is "bacterial SSU rRNA". It matches the Rfam family "Bacterial small subunit ribosomal RNA", at positions 8 to 672 of the family's 1533-position model. The record is from RNAcentral.
AGAGUUUGAUUAUGGCUCAGGAUGAACGCUAGCGACAGGCUUAACACAUGCAAGUCGAGGGGCAGCGGGGAAGUAGCAAUACUUCCGCCGGCGACCGGCGCACGGGUGAGUAACACGUAUGGAACCUGCCCGUAGCAGGGGGAUAAGCGGAAGAAAUUCCGUCUAAUAUCGCGUAAUAACUCCGAGAGGCAUCUCCUGGGGUUUAAAGGGUAACACCGGCUACGGAUGGCCAUGCGGCGCAUUAGCUAGUUGGCGGGGUAACGGCCCACCAAGGCGACGAUGCGUAGGGGUUCUGAGAGGAAGGUCCCCCACACUGGUACUGAGACACGGACCAGACUCCUACGGGAGGCAGCAGUGAGGAAUAUUGGUCAAUGGGCGCGAGCCUGAACCAGCCAAGUCGCGUGAGGGAAGACGGUCCUAUGGAUUGUAAACCUCUUUUGUCGGGGAGCAAAAGACGCCACGUGUGGCGUUCCGAGAGUACCCGAAGAAAAAGCAUCGGCUAACUCCGUGCCAGCAGCCGCGGUAAUACGGAGGAUGCGAGCGUUAUCCGGAUUUAUUGGGUUUAAAGGGUGCGCAGGCGGAAGAUCAAGUCAGCGGUAAAAUUGAGAGGCUCAACCUCUUCGAGCCGUUGAAACUGGUUUUCUUGAGUGAGCGAGAAGUAUGCGGAAUGCGUG